RNAcentral lists this ribosomal RNA (668 nucleotides) under uncultured Brevundimonas sp. RNAcentral describes it as "bacterial SSU rRNA". It matches the Rfam family "Bacterial small subunit ribosomal RNA", at positions 95 to 798 of the family's 1533-position model. Lineage: Bacteria; Pseudomonadati; Pseudomonadota; Alphaproteobacteria; Caulobacterales; Caulobacteraceae. The record is from RNAcentral.
GUGGCGGACGGGUGAGUAACACGUGGGAACGUGCCCUUUGGUACGGAAUAACUCAGGGAAACUUGAGCUAAUACCGUAUGUGCCCUUCGGGGGAAAGAUUUAUCGCCAUUGGAGCGGCCCGCGUCUGAUUAGCUAGUUGGUGAGGUAACGGCUCACCAAGGCGACGAUCAGUAGCUGGUCUGAGAGGAUGACCAGCCACAUUGGGACUGAGACACGGCCCAAACUCCUACGGGAGGCAGCAGUGGGGAAUCUUGCGCAAUGGGCGAAAGCCUGACGCAGCCAUGCCGCGUGGAUGAUGAAGGUCUUAGGAUUGUAAAAUCCUUUCACCGGUGAAGAUAAUGACUGUAGCCGGAGAAGAAGCCCCGGCUAACUUCGUGCCAGCAGCCGCGGUAAUACGAAGGGGGCUAGCGUUGCUCGGAAUUACUGGGCGUAAAGGGCGCGUAGGCGGACAUUUAAGUCAGGGGUGAAAUCCCAGAGCUCAACUCUGGAACUGCCUUUGAUACUGGAUGUCUUGAGUGUGAGAGAGGUAUGUGGAACUCCGAGUGUAGAGGUGAAAUUCGUAGAUAUUCGGAAGAACACCAGUGGCGAAGGCGACAUACUGGCUCAUUACUGACGCUGAGGCGCGAAAGCGUGGGGAGCAAACAGGAUUAGAUACCCUGGUAGUCCAC